GAUGAACGCUGGCGGCGUGCUUAACACAUGCAAGUCGAACGGAAAGGCUCCUGCCUGCAGGGGUCCUCGAGUGGCGAACGGGUGAGUAACACGUGGGUGAUCUGCCCUGUACUUCGGGAUAAGCUUAGGAAACUGGGUCUAAUACCGGUUAUGACAAUCUCUUGGAUGGGGUUGGAUAAAGCUUUUGCGGUAUGGGAUGAGCUCGCGGCCUAUCCGCUUGUUGGUUGGGUAAUGGCCUACCAAAGCCUCGUCGGGUAUCCUGCCUGAGGGGGUGUACGGCCAUAUUGGGUCUGAGCUACGCCACAGACUCCUACUGGCGGCAGCAGUAGGGAAUAUUCCCUCACGGGCCCAGGCCAGACAGACCCACCCCGUGUGGCGAAUGACGGCCUUCGCGCUGUAAACUCCUUUCCCAGCAGACGAAGCCUUUGUGACGGUACUUAGAGGAGAAGGCCCGGCUACCUCCGUG
RNAcentral lists this ribosomal RNA (466 nucleotides) under uncultured bacterium. RNAcentral describes it as "partial 16S ribosomal RNA". It matches the Rfam family "Bacterial small subunit ribosomal RNA", at positions 28 to 507 of the family's 1533-position model. The record is from RNAcentral.